AGGGUGUCACUCAACACAAUUGUAAAUUUUCGAUUUAAUGAUUAAAUGAUUAGUUUAAAAAACCCUCAAGUCCUUCCGGCUACACCUCACUUGUACUAGGUUCACUACCAGUCACCCAGGAACUUCAAACCCUCACAUCAGGAAAGACAAAUAGUACACAGGAUAAAUUCAGAACAUAUUAUUUAAAAAACGUAUAAAAAGAGGACCUUCUUAUGGCAGGGGCUACACCUAACAUGUGUGGGACAGACUCUUUGUCCCAGAACUUAAAACCCUUCACAUCCACCUGCCACUACAUUCAACACAUAUAAGAACAUUUUGGAUAAGCUUUAUUCAAUCACUUCCUCAACAGCAAACCAAGGACCAUUGCCCAGAGCUGGAUUCAGUGUCCUCUGGGGUCACUUCCAUCAAAGGCAUCAUUCCGGUUGCCCAUCUGCUCCGUUAUCAAUCUCUCCAGAACCCUGGAAAUGAGACCUCUCGCACACGGGACCAAACAACAACCACACAACACAAACACAAUCAUACAGGUGAAAGCAGCCCAUAACAACACUUUUCCAUUUCCCAAACAUGAGCUGUGUUAUCAGGAAUGUACGUGCAGCAAUGAACCUAAUCAAUCUACCUACACCAUCCUCUUUUGCCAGUAACAUAUCGAGAGUCAGUCUAUUUUACCAGGUCAUGAGGGAGGUGGUGGAUAAUUGGUCAGAGAACCUCUUUACUGCAUCCCCGGUUUCAUUCAUGAAUCUCUGUUGAUUAUAAAAGAUGUCAUUAAUCCCAUCCACAUUUUUAUUUAUUGUCAACUACCAUAAUAAUGUAGUGUUAAAGCCUUCACAUAUUUGAUUCAUAGCUUUGUAUUCAUCUGGAACUUCCCUGUGGAUGCCAAUAGCAUCCAUCUAGACAAAGCUACUCCCAUCCUGGUCAAAACUCCUCCUGUGUCUACUUUAGCCUCCUAUAACUGGCCUCUGAUGACUAACUUGAACUGGUUGGACCAAUAAACCCGGGGCGCAAGCUCCUAACCACCCUUUGUGGUAAUUUCUGUCGUAUGCGUCCUUUGCUGGUACUAGCCCACCCAACAUCAGUUAUAGGUGCUGUGAGGUUAAGCAUUUUCUAUUCAUCUUUCAAACCUAAGUCAGUCACAUUAACAAUUACUUUCCAGCUAUUAAAAUCAUCCAAGUUCUCGGUGCCAUUCUUGUAUCUAUAACACUGGUACUCAUCAGGAGUUAAGGUGAACCUAGGUGGGUUGGCCGAGUACCUCAAUCUGACCCACCCAGUCCCUGUACAGUUGUCUGCUUUCCUAGGAAGUUGUUUAAUGUUUACCUUAAAUCCUACAUCUUGAUCUUCUUUGACUCCUUAUUAUGUAAGUCACUCAUCAGUGUAUUAUAUAGUUUAUCUUUUACUUCUUCUCGAUGACAACGGUAUCGUUUGAUUAGUACCGGAAUCUGGUGGAUCUGAAUGUAUCAGAAAGAUUAGACUAUGAUGCAGCUCAGAGUCUCUACUCUUCCCAAAAACCGCCAACCCUCUCCUGCCCUUAGUCUCUCUGCUUGGUACCACCCCAUACUCACACCUCUAGGAGCACACACAGUGAUGAACGGUCGGGAUAGGGAAUCUUCGUUAAGGAGGUGACCCCCGGACCCUGUUGGUACUCGGUUCUUCUCCUAACUCUGUGUGUGAUCAGCAGUGCUCAUAUGUGUACAUACCUUCUUGCAGUGGGUAACGUGGACCCAAGUGACUCUCUCAGCUUUUCUAAUGGCAAAGGCAGUGGUUUAACAGAACCUGGUAUGGGCCUUCCCCACGGGGCUGCUUCCUGUCUUUUCUCCUCAGGGACUGGAUCCACACCCAGUCUCCUGGUUGGAUUGAGUGAAUCACCUUCUCCUGUAAUUCACCUGUUGGACACAAAAUCUUGGACAUACGGGUUUGGUUAACAAACAGUCUUCUCAUGUGCUCUGCUAGUAUAUCUUUAACUUCUAUGUCUACCUGUUCCGGUAUCUCUAACUCUGGUAUUCUAUAGGCUCUACCUGAUUAUCUAAAAUGUCAUCCAUCAUUUAAAGAGAUAGAUAAUAGUAAACCAACACUAGGGAUAAUAUCUUGACCUCAUUUUUUUUUUACCAUAAUCAUGUCCACCAAGUAAGUUGGGAACGCUUCUACCCAUUUGCUAUGCUUAUCUGUUAUUGUUAAACACCCCUUCUUCCCCUCAAUUCGGAAUAGUUCAAUAAGUCCAUUUCCAAAUGUUGGAAUGGAUAUUCUACAAAAAAAUAAUUUGUUUAAGUAAUAUGUUCUUGUUUAAGUAAUUAUCCUAACCUGUUCUAUUGCCUGCUCUACCAUACUCCCCCUAUUUAUACAUGGCUCAAGCCAUGUAUCAAUUUUGCUGCAUAUCUAGACAGUGUCUUUGGUAAGGUUAUUAAAUUAUCCUUAUGUCCGCCCUUCUCUUGUAGGAUUGCCCCCUUGUCACGUCCUGGCCAGUAUAAGGUCAAUUGGUAUUGUAGUUUGGUCAGGACGUGGCAGAGGGUAUUCGUUUUAUGUGGUUCGGGGUGGUGUGUUUGUUGAAGGGGCAUUUGAUUUAAGUAUUCCGGGGUUUUUGGGCACUGUUUGGUUUUCAGGUAUUCUAUGUUUAGUCUAGUAUGUCUGUUUCUAUGUUUGGUUAAUUGGGGUUGGGACUCUCAGUUGAAGGCAGGUGUUGUCUAUCUGCCUUUGAUUGAGAGUCCCAUAUAUUAGGUGUGUUUGUUAUUUGUGGGAGAUUGUUCUGUGUUGAGCCUUAUGCUUUGCAGACUGUCAGUCGAUCGUUAUUUCUGUUUGUUAUUUUGGUGUUCAUUUUGUAUUCAUUAAAACGUCGAGAUGAGCAUUCACAUACCUGCUGCGUUUUGGUCCUCUUUAACCGACGACAAGCGUGACACCCCUUUCAUUUUCCACAUGUCCAAUUCUCCCUGGGGCAUUCAUCCUUAGCUACCCUGUAACAAUUCUCUGUCAAGUGUCUUAUCUGCUUUAAGAUUUAACUACUUCCAACAAAAUUAUCAUAUAUUUUCCUAGCGAAUUUUACCAAAACAUAACUUAAAAUCAAAACUAAAAUACAUGCCUAUGGAGCCGAUAGUCUCUCCAUGAAUUAAUAUCCUAAAGUUAAGCGAUCCAAACUAAAUUCUCUUCCUAUCUUCUAUUCUUAUUAUGUCUUUUCUGUCUGUCCCAGUAUUAUUUCUGUCCUCACCUGUUUAUAAUUUAACUAUGCUGGUCUCCACUCACUAACCGUUAUCUAAUUCUUCUGUGUCUCUUUUAUCUUCUCUUCCUUGCUUAUGCUCUCCUCCUGCUACUUCCAACCCAUCAAGGUCUCAGCAGUGCAGGGGAGGACUUCUCCGUCUGCUGUCUUAUUCCAUAGCUACUUAAAUUUACACUACCCUUGGAUAAAAUAUUUUACUUCCAAUCUAUGAAACCCCAUAUUUUAACGUACUAUUUGACUAAUUUGACCCAAGAUUGCUUAAAAACCCCUUCAGUUUGUCUGCAAACCGGCCCAUUCUGUUUGCUAGGAAUACCCUGCCAUUAUACACAACUGUGUUUAAUGUGCACCGUCCCUGUAAAAAAAUAAAAUUAACUCCACCUGCAAUUCACUUUAAUGACUUGAUAUUUUUCCAUGCAAUGUUCAAUUCACCGGUGUUACUAAACAAUCAAUACCACGACUCAAUAACCAGAAUUUAUCACAGAACUUUUACAAUUCCAUUAUUCAGACCAGAAUCGCUUCCAGCCACAUACUCAUAGGAAAAAAUAUUACCUCUUUUCUAACAGCGUUCUGCCUUUCCUCUAUCGCAAGAUUAAAACCAAUGUUACAACUGUAUCUCUCAUUUCGGCUCCACAUACCUUAUGCAUCUUUCUUACCAUUAGUCCCAACUUUAACCCAUCCAAACUUCCAUCAAAUUCAUACUUCCUUCUCCACCUUGGACCGAAAUAAAUAUUUAUUUUAUAUCAUUUAACUCCAUGUAUCGCUCAUCUCCCGUUAAUUCCUGCACCUCCUUUAAGGUGUUUGUUAAAAUUACUAUCGUAGUUAUUCUGCUCCUUUUCCCACUCUAGAAUUUUUAGAAGGAGUAUUCGUAUGAAUCUUAAAUUAUAUUUUAUUCUAUGUGUUGUUUUUUUUGUUGGUCAAACCCUAACAAUCUAAAUGCAAAUAAAUACCUGCAAUCUUCCGCCAGGGGUACACUAAAAAAAUGCUCCACACAAGUCAAUCACGGUAAAGUAUUUGGCAUCAUGGGGAACAUUAGUCAACAGUGUGUGAGGGUUUGGACCUUCCGCAGGGCAAUCCUGUGCAAUAUCCCUUCUUCGUCUUCAGGCUUCAUAGGAUACUGGGCUGAUCCAUGGGGGUUUAGCAUCCGGGUUUAACUUUGAUGUUCACAGGACUUGCUGAUUUUACUAGCCCAACAUCUGUAUCAUGUUGUGACCAUACCUCUGGUGGUAUGAUGUUUUCCAUUUCUUCUCUAAGUUCACUGAUCAAAUCCCAUUCCUUCACCCAACACUACCUGUUGGCCUGCACUGACCUCUAUUUCCCUAGGAACACCAGUCAUCAUUGUAGUGUUUAUUAUCUUGAUAAAUGCCUUAUCUUCUGAAUGGGAAAAAAUCAACGGAUUGUCUGUUUCAUCCCAUCUCUUUCUCUUAGCUUUCUUCAUCAUAGGUUCCUAGAUCCCUUGAUGUGAACUCCUGAUUUACCAGCGAUGUGAUGUGAGGGACAGAGUCGGAGACGUUGAACCAUUUUUUGCACAAAUUCAGAUCCGUCUCCGUCCAUCACAUCCAUGGCCGCUCCCUGUUUCUCCAAUGAUGACAUACUGAGACAUCAUUGGUGCUUUCCUAGCAUUUGCCCCCAUAGUCCAUAGUUGCUCUAACACGGGAUCCUGAUGAGGGUCAUAUUGCAUUGUGCAGUGAUAUUCAGAUUUUGCUCCCCUCGCUGCUUUAAGCAUUUGGGCUCGAAUGAAUCUGCCCCAUCUGCUUACAGUUCUGUCUAUAUCUGCCUCAAUGCCUCCCGACCAAUAUACGUUAGCUGUUUCUCCUGUAGCUAUCACUGGUAAUUGUAGUCCUAUUCUUUCUAUUAAUACCCCCUCGGGAGAACAUUUAAUUUGCAUUCCCAUUUUGCAUAGAGCAUCCCUUCCUAGCAGAUUAACGGGUCUUUGAUCCGAUACUAAUAUUGGAAUUGUGGCUGAUUUAUCAUCAGCAGUCAGACGAAUUGGAGCAGUCAUUGGAAUUAGCUGCGUAUUUCCCGAGAAUCCUAUUGUUUUGGCAUAUUUACCGGACAUGGGGAGAUGAGAGGCGUAAUUUGAACUUACACAUGUGUAAGUGGCUCCAGUAUUUAUCAUCAUGGGUGUGCCUCUGUUCUCUAUUUGAACCUGCAGCAUAGGUUCUUGGUCAGCUCUUGUGGUUAUCACUGGGAACUGACCCUCCCCUGUAGGAUUCUCUGGGCAUCCCUAGUAUGUUUGGUUAGGCCCUGACCAUGGGUUCACAGGGCCCGAAGGUUGGCUUUGGUUGCCGGGCCAUCCACCAUUCCCGUUUGUAUGCGGCUGCCAGCCACCUGGAUUGUUGUUUGUUGGUGGCCGCCUGUUGUUUGUGUUUCCUCCAGUCAGAUCCUGCCAGGGGUUUGUAGGGCAUUCUCGUCUGGAGUGUCCUGAUUGGUGGCAACCCCAACAGACACCAGGUGGCCCCCUAGGGUUCCUGGGUCCCUUUCUCUGAUCUGCCUGUGUAUUUUUCUGUUGUUUAUUUCCACCAUUCCAAUUAGGGGGCUGUGUGUAUACAUUUACUACUAGCAGUACGGUAGGCAUUUGGGCCCGCCUGGGGGUUGACGGUUGCGGCCCUCCUGGGGAAACGGCAGACAUUGUUCCUACCUCGGGCACAGGGGUGGUUACUGAGGCAUGGACUUUCUUCUUUCCUUUGUUGGUUAAUUCAUCCAGCUGCAACUGGGCCAGCUUUCUCUGAAUGUCUUUUCCUUGUUCAAUCUGUCUCUGUUCGUCCUUCCUGUGUUUUUCCACGGCAUGAAUCACAUAGUCACAGAACUCUUUGUAAGGUUUUGAAGUAAGCCCCACCACAUCCUCCAGUCUGUUCCUUACCGGCUCGGGCAUGGCUUCCAUCACAGAAGUUCGGAACAUUGCUGUCAUUAGUUCAUUUCCUUCUGGAUCUUGUUCUGUUUCCAUUCUCCAUCUUUCCAAAUGUCCAUGUAAGUACGUGGCCGGGUUUUCUGUAGCUCCAAUAGCUUCACCUCUCAGAGCUUUGAGGUCAAACUUCGUUGGGUAUGCUGCCCUUAAUGCACGCCAGACGGCAGCUCUAUACCUGUCGAACAUCAGUCCAUCCUUCGUCACCUCCCAAUCUGUGCCGUUGAUCGCACCAUCCUGCAUGAUUUCUCUCAGUUUCUGCACGCUCGUCACCCUCCCUAGCAAUGCCUUUAUGUCACCCACCACCAGCAAUUUCCCCAUCGUGUAUUCUUCAAAGGUUCUGAUCCACUUCCCUGCUCCCUCAUGGAGAUCUGGCAAGCGGAAAACCAACCCCUCCAUGUCCUGUGCAGCCCAUGGUAUAUAGUGUCCUUGCUCUCCUUUUAUCAGGAUCUGCCACUGUUUUUCAUAAUAACCAGAUUCUUUCCUAGACCCAUUCCUACGAGCCCUGCAAUAUUUCCCUGCAGGCUCAUUUCUCAGGCUCUCAUUCAUACUACGGGCCAAGGCCUCAUCCUGUCUUUCUUGCCUUCUUAUGUUUUCUUCGUGUGUUGAUUUUGACCGUCCCAGUUUCUCUUCUAUUCUUUGUGCCACUAUUUGUCCUUCUCUCUCUAUUUGUCCCCUACAGGAUGGAUCAUUCUCUUCCUCUUCCUCUUCCGCCUCGCUCGGACUAUUACCUGAUGCCCAUUCUGCUAGUGUGUUUUGGCUUUUCCUGGAGUUGCCCUCCGUUUGGUCUUUUGUUAUUUUUGUUUGCAGCUCUGACGUCUCCCUUUCUCCUAUUUCCGUUUCCAUUGCUGUUAGGGCUUUCCUCAGGCCACUAUAGCAAUCGAAACCUUCUUCUUUUGUUCCUAUAUGCUUCAUAGUUCUUUUCUUGCCUUGUUCUGUUGAAUGUGAAGGUGCACACGUUGCUCUAGGUGUGGUGAUCCCUUCCUUUUCUUCCGUCACUUCCACUUCCCCUUUUAUUUCCACGUGUCCAGUUAUCAUGGGAAACUGUCCAUCGGAAUACGGCGGGGGGCUGGUCCCCCACUCCGUUUUCUCUUUGCUUGUGUUAUCGUUCUUCUUUAGUACUUCUCUUGCUGUCUUCAUGCUUUGUAACAAACCCACUCUUUCUUCCUUAAACAUUUUUAGUAUUUCGUUUUCUCUUUCUCGUUUAUUUUUCCUUUUUUGUUUCUUGUCCUUGGGUUUAUAGUUCUUUAUCAGCGUUUCCAUUUCCUCACACACAGUGACAUCCAACGUUCCCACUGCGGGCCAUUUGGUGUUUAAUUUUCUGGUGCGUUUUUCCCAUUUUAUAGACGUUUUUAUUAUUUCUUUUUUACUUAGGGGGUAUCUAGUCCCCAAAAUCUCUACCGGUGUCCUAUUCAUUUUAAUGAUGGUCUAUAGUUUAGCCUUAACUUGUUAAAUCCUCCUUGAUAUUUUUUUUCCUUUUGUUUUUAAUUCUUUGUAAUGUCUAUCCUUCUCAUUUAUAUUUAUUCACUCACUUUAUCCUAUCCUUAUUAUUACUUAUUGUUUUGCUCCUGUUUCACUCUAUUUAUUCUCAGUCCUAGGUCCUACUUUACCAGAUUUCUCCAGACCCCCCCCCCUCUCUCUCUCUCUCUCUCUCUGUCUCUCUCUCUGUCUCUCUCUCUCUCUCUCUCUCCUAUUGUAAUCUGACUCUUCUCGUCCUUUCCCAGGCUGCAGCUCCAUUAGGGUCCUGCAGCUUCAAAGUGUUUAGUUGGCCACUGCUUCCCCCAUACUGUCCUUUAUGGUGCAGUAAUAUCUCUAGUAGGUUCUAUAGACCUAUACCAUGAUGCUGUUCUCUAUGUAUUUGUUGAUACUAUUUAUUCUAAAUAGCCUGAGUUAAUUGUUUUUACCAUAUAGUAUAUAUAUCUUAUGCCUUAUCUGUAGGUUUUAAUCGCUCUACUUCACACACCAGUAUAUACUAUAUGUGGCUUAUUUAAUACUUUAUUCAACAAGUUCUAUGCAUUCCAGAAUAGUUAUUUAACACCUGUAUUAUGUAAAUGUUCUACCUUUUCAUAGUUUCCUUUUAAUCAAUAUCCUUUCAUUUAUUUUUUUCUUCCCAGCAUGCUCUAUACGCAAUCCUUUUCCUAUUACACUCGAUCUAUUGUCACAGAAAGGCUUGCGCAUUCCUCCUCCGGACCGACCGACACACACACACACAAUCUUUAUUUCUCCCUGCCCUGUUUCACUCCCACUCCAGAGAAACUUUCACUCAUUCAAGGCCUUUAUUUUUCACUCAUUCAGAUUACCGACCCCGUUAGCUAGACGGAGCGUUUUAUCUGUAGGUGGUGAACCUAAUCGGGUCGACGUUUUCCUGCUCUCUAACUAUUCACCCAGACCGACCCCCAUCUUGGGGCGAUAUUGUGAAUUUACUUAUUUAUUUGUUUUGCCCGAUCAGCGCAGGCGCAAGCCCCCUCCGCUAAACACCCGACACCAGCAAAGUUCACAGUUUACCACACUUUUUUUAGCCCUCACAGAUGUACAUAUUUAAUUACAUUUAACAACCCCCCAAAAUUCAUGGAUGCAUGCAGUUCUAUUGAAUUCAAAAGCUCUUAGUAUUUCUGUGUUUUUAGGAGUUUUUAAAGAGAGACCUACGUGACGUCCCCUCCGCUGAGACAGAAUCCCUGAAGCAAUCUACACAAACAUUUCAAACUAUCGUAAGAACAAGCUUACCUGUUUAUAGUUGGGUGGCCACCCGUUUGUGAGAUUGUCCAGAGAAACCGUCACCAGCCAAGAACGACACUGUCCGAGGUCUCUUCGAUCUCCUGGCAAGCUCGCCAAAUAUGUAGUGGAAAAUUGUCUUAAGAAUAUAAUACUCUUGCAAGAACUUUGUGAAUUCAAUAUAGACUUUAAUACAGAGUAGCCAAAGCCGAGCCCUUCCAUGGAAGGACCCUAUUACACACGCAACAGGGCCGAGCCCUUCCAUUGAAAAAGACUAAAUUCUCAUAUUACAGUCCUCUCUUUAUAGGAUUCUGUCUUUGCUUAACGUAUAGAGUCCCUUCCUCUCUAUAUGAAAAU
This 9170-nucleotide long non-coding RNA is filed under the name Salmo salar (Atlantic salmon). RNAcentral describes it as "lncRNA (ENSSSAG00000110479.1)". Lineage: Eukaryota; Metazoa; Chordata; Actinopteri; Salmoniformes; Salmonidae. The record is from RNAcentral.